RNAcentral lists this ribosomal RNA (462 nucleotides) under Nucras lalandii. RNAcentral's name for it is "partial 12S small subunit ribosomal RNA". It matches the Rfam family "Bacterial small subunit ribosomal RNA", at positions 794 to 1482 of the family's 1533-position model. The record is from RNAcentral. Lineage: Eukaryota; Metazoa; Chordata; Lepidosauria; Squamata; Lacertidae.
GCUAAGUCGUAAACAUCGAUGGCCAUAUUACAACGCCCUCCGCCAGAGAAUUACAAGUAAAAACUUAAAACUCAAAGGACUUGGCGGUGUCCCAAAUCGACCUAGAGGAGCCUGUCCUAUAAUCGAUAUUCCCCGUUCCACCCAACCUUAGCUUGCCUAAUUCAGCCUAUAUACCGCCGUCGACAGUCUACCCCAUGAGGGGUUAAAAGUAGACACAACAACACUUACCGCUAAUACGUCAGGUCAAGGUGUAGCCCAUGCUAAGGAAGAGAUUGGCUACAUUUUUUGUAACAAAAAAUACGAAAUGCACUAUGAAACAGUACAUAAAGGUGAAUUUAGCAGUAAAAUAGACGAGAGCGUCUACUUUAACACCGCUCUGGGACGCGCACACACCGCCCGUCACCCUCCUCUACUUACACCCCCACUACCACUAUAUAACUAUUCCCCCACCAAAGAGGAGGC